This 253-nucleotide ribosomal RNA is filed under the name uncultured bacterium. RNAcentral describes it as "partial 16S ribosomal RNA". It matches the Rfam family "Bacterial small subunit ribosomal RNA", at positions 524 to 776 of the family's 1533-position model. The record is from RNAcentral.
UACGAAGGGGGCUAGCGUUGCUCGGAAUUACUGGGCGUAAAGCGCACGUAGGCGGCCUUCUAAGUCGGGGGUGAAAUCCUGGAGCUCAACUCCAGAACUGCCUUCGAUACUGGAAAGCUCGAGUCCGGGAGAGGUGAGUGGAACUGCGAGUGUAGAGGUGAAAUUCGUAGAUAUUCGCAAGAACACCAGUGGCGAAGGCGGCUCACUGGCCCGGUACUGACGCUGAGGUGCGAAAGCGUGGGGAGCAAACAGG